UACGGAGGAUCCAAGCGUUAUCCGGAAUCAUUGGGUUUAAAGGGUCCGUAGGCGGUUUUGUAAGUCAGUGGUGAAAGCCCAUCGCUCAACGGUGGAACGGCCAUUGAUACUGCAAGACUUGAAUUAUUGGGAAGUAACUAGAAUAUGUAGUGUAGCGGUGAAAUGCUUAGAGAUUACAUGGAAUACCAAUUGCGAAGGCAGGUUACUACCAAUAUAUUGACGCUGAUGGACGAAGGCGUGGGGAGCGAACAGG
This 253-nucleotide ribosomal RNA is filed under the name uncultured bacterium. RNAcentral describes it as "partial 16S ribosomal RNA". It matches the Rfam family "Bacterial small subunit ribosomal RNA", at positions 524 to 776 of the family's 1533-position model. The record is from RNAcentral.